GUGAAUUCACAGAGGACUACUCAAAGAACCAGGGUUACAGGUAUAGUGCCAUAUGAUCCCAGAGGCUUCCUGCAUCAGCAGUGGAUUGGACUUGAUGACCCUUCAGGUCCCUUCCAGCCCUAUGAUUUUGCAAGCUGUCUCCAUUCCAUGUUCCUUCUGGCAAAAGCAGAACUGAAAGACAAGCCAUCAUUUCUUUUCUACAGAUACGAAGCCUUGCCCUACCAUUUUUGAGGCAAGUGCCUCAUUUGGCAGGUAUGCAAAAGCAGGGAAGGGUAGUGGGGGCAAGGUGUUGGAGGAAAACUUGCCCUGAACCCCUUAACUAAUCUGCUGUGCUCACGUGUAAUGGAUGAUGCUGUUCUUUCACCUGUGUAAGAAGUAAGAUUCAGCUACCAUUCCCUUCAAUGUCUGCACCCGGAAUGAUGCGACACACCAUUUUGAACUUUACCUCAGGCAGAUGAAUGACUUGGGCCAGCUUUGAUUGAUAGCCAACUGAGAUUAAAUACUUUCCUGUACUAUCUCCUAUGUUACUGGCACAAAAUGGCUAAGAUUUUACUUCAUUAGUUGUUGUUGGCUGCAUGGACCUGCAGACUAGCAAGCUCUACAUACACCCAUCUUCUGCUACUUGCUCACCGGUGCCAGAAUCCACAGGCAGCCCCCACCCUCUGUUAGAAGAGCCAAGGAUUGCACCUAAGAAUGAACAGUCCAUUACAGCACACCUACCUAGCAGUAGCAGCUUCACUGUCUUUGCCUCUUUGUCCGCAUCUUCUUGUAGCUUCUUUUCCAGCUCCUUGGACCUUUUGGCAAG
This is a non-coding RNA of Pogona vitticeps (central bearded dragon), 805 nucleotides long. NCBI's taxonomy places the organism in Eukaryota, Metazoa, Chordata, Lepidosauria, Squamata, Agamidae. The record is from RefSeq and is a predicted model, not a curated record.